RNAcentral lists this ribosomal RNA (269 nucleotides) under uncultured prokaryote. Its description in RNAcentral is "partial 16S ribosomal RNA". It matches the Rfam family "Bacterial small subunit ribosomal RNA", at positions 524 to 792 of the family's 1533-position model. The record is from RNAcentral.
CACGGAGGGUGCGAGCGUUAAUCGGAAUUACUGGGCGUAAAGCGCGCGUAGGCGGUCUGAUCAGCCGGUUGUGAAAGCCCCGGGCUCAACCUGGGAACGGCAUCCGGAACUGUCAGGCUAGAGUGCAGGAGAGGAAGGUAGAAUUCCCGGUGUAGCGGUGAAAUGCGUAGAGAUCGGGAGGAAUACCAGUGGCGAAGGCGGCCUUCUGGACUGACACUGACGCUGAGGUGCGAAAGCGUGGGUAGCAAACAGGAUUAGAUACCCUGGUA